This 426-nucleotide ribosomal RNA is filed under the name uncultured Burkholderiales bacterium. RNAcentral describes it as "bacterial SSU rRNA". It matches the Rfam family "Bacterial small subunit ribosomal RNA", at positions 356 to 774 of the family's 1533-position model. The record is from RNAcentral. Lineage: Bacteria; Pseudomonadati; Pseudomonadota; Betaproteobacteria; Burkholderiales.
GGGGAAUAUUGGACAAUGGGCGCAAGCCUGAUCCAGCCAUGCCGCGUGGGUGAAGAAGGCCUUCGGGUUGUAAAGCCCUUUUGUUGGGAAAGAAAAGCAGCCGGCCAAUACCCGGUUGUUCUGACGGUACCCAAAGAAUAAGCACCGGCUAACUACGUGCCAGCAGCCGCGGUAAUACGUAGGGUGCGAGCGUUAAUCGGAAUUACUGGGCGUAAAGCGUGCGCAGGCGGCUUUGCAAGACAGAGGUGAAAUCCCCGGGCUCAACCUGGGAACUGCCUUUGUGACUGCAAGGCUAGAGUACGGCAGAGGGGGAUGGAAUUCCGCGUGUAGCAGUGAAAUGCGUAGAUAUGCGGAGGAACACCAAUGGCGAAGGCAAUCCCCUGGGCCUGUACUGACGCUCAUGCACGAAAGCGUGGGGAGCAAACA